UGCAGUCGAACGAGAAAGUGAUCUUCGGAUCGCGAGUAGAGUGGCGCACGGGUGAGUAACACGUGGAUAACCUGCCCUAUGAUCUGGGAUAACACUUCGAAAGGGGUGCUAAUACCGGAUAAGCCCACACAACCUUCGGGGCGAGUGGGAAAAGAUUUAUCGUCAUAGGAUGGGUCCGCGGUCCAUUAGCUAGUUGGUGGGGUAAUGGCCUACCAAGGCUACGAUGGAUAGCUGGUCUGAGAGGAUGAUCAGCCACACUGGAACUGAGACACGGUCCAGACUCCUACGGGAGGCAGCAGUGGGGAAUUUUGCGCAAUGGGGGAAACCCUGACGCAGCAAUACCGCGUGAAGGAUGAAGGCCCUUGGGUCGUAAACUUCUGUCAGAGGGGAAGAAAUACUCGCAAGAGUGCUGACGGUACCCUCAAAGGAAGCACCGGCUAACUCCGUG
RNAcentral lists this ribosomal RNA (448 nucleotides) under uncultured bacterium. Its description in RNAcentral is "bacterial SSU rRNA". It matches the Rfam family "Bacterial small subunit ribosomal RNA", at positions 56 to 507 of the family's 1533-position model. The record is from RNAcentral.